RNAcentral lists this microRNA (22 nucleotides) under Macaca mulatta (Rhesus monkey). RNAcentral's name for it is "mml-miR-9-3-3p (MIR9-3)". Lineage: Eukaryota; Metazoa; Chordata; Mammalia; Primates; Cercopithecidae. The record is from RNAcentral.
CUCAAGCUAGAUAACCGAAAGU